GGCAGCAUCUACCUCUAGUGUGGCUGGUUCCAUUCCAUGGUGGAGUGCCUGAAAGGUGGGGAGGAGAGGAGCUCGAUGGCCGGACUCUACUCGGAGAAUGUGGUUGGAGAGGAGAUCGGGGCAGACAGAGUGCCACGCAUGGGGCCUUGGCUUCUCACCGUCAGGCACUAGUUGCCCAGGCUAGAGAAGACGAGAGGCGUGAGGAAGACUAGGGCCAUGCCAACUCGGAUCUAUGUACUCGGAAAGGAACCGACUUCGGGGGUUUCGGAUCGAGUUGACCCACCGACCAAAUUUGAUGGUUGGAUCAAACCAACCAAGAUCGCACGACAGUGAUCUCCCCUU
This 342-nucleotide long non-coding RNA is filed under the name Elaeis guineensis (African oil palm). RNAcentral's name for it is "long non-coding RNA (EGUI_LNC062615)". The record is from RNAcentral. Lineage: Eukaryota; Viridiplantae; Streptophyta; Magnoliopsida; Arecales; Arecaceae.